This 500-nucleotide ribosomal RNA is filed under the name uncultured bacterium. RNAcentral describes it as "bacterial SSU rRNA". It matches the Rfam family "Bacterial small subunit ribosomal RNA", at positions 903 to 1397 of the family's 1533-position model. The record is from RNAcentral.
AAAUGAAUUGACGGGGGCCCGCACAAGCAGUGGAGUAUGUGGUUUAAUUCGACGCAACGCGAAGAACCUUACCAGGGCUUGACAUCCUCAGACCGCGAUAGAGAUAUCGUUUUUCAUGGAGCAAUCCAUGGACUGAGAGACAGGUGGUGCAUGGUUGUCGUCAGCUCGUGUCGUGAGAUGUUGGGUUAAGUCCCGCAACGAGCGCAACCCCUAUUGUCAGUUGCCAUCAUUCAGUUGGGCACUCUGACGAGACCGCCGUUGACAAAACGGAGGAAGGUGGGGAUGAGGUCAAAUCAUCAUGCCCCUUAUGUCCUGGGCUACACACGUACUACAAUGGCAGUCACAACGGGCAGCGACAUCGCGAGAUGAAGCGAAUCCCCAAAGGCUGUCUCAGUUCAGAUUGCAGGCUGCAACUCGCCUGCAUGAAGCAGGAAUUGCUAGUAAUGGCAGGUCAGCAUACUGCCGUGAAUACGUUCCCGGGCCUUGUACACACCGCCCGU